AACGAACGCUGGCGGCAUGCCUAACACAUGCAAGUCGAACGAGACCUUCGGGUCUAGUGGCGCACGGGUGCGUAACGGGUGGGAACCUGCCCUUAGGUUCGGAAUAACUCUCCGACAGGGGUGCCAAUACCGGAUAAUGUCUUCGGCCCAAAGAUUUAUCGCCUUUGGUUGGGCACGCGUUGGAUUAGCUAGUUGGUAGGGUAAAAGCCUACCAAGGCGACGAUCAAUAGCUGGUCUGGGAGGAUGAUCAGCCACACUGGGACUGGGACACGGCCCAGACUCCUACGGGAGGCAGCAGUGGGGAAUAUUGGACAAUGGGCGAAAGCCUGAUCCAGCAAUGCCGCGUGAGUGAUGAAGGCCUUAGGGUUGUAAAGCUCUUUUACCCGGGAUGAUAAUGACGGUACCGGGAGAAUAAGCUCCGGCUAACUCCGUG
Molecule: ribosomal RNA, 433 nt
Filed under: uncultured bacterium
Lineage: Bacteria
Description: partial 16S ribosomal RNA
Rfam family: Bacterial small subunit ribosomal RNA
Source: RNAcentral